UGGAGGGGGUUCCAACAGGAUUCGGGGGUUCAGGUAAGUUGCAGGGGGUUCUGGUUGGGGUGCAGGGCAUCCAGGCAACGUGCAGUGUGUCUGAUUGGAGUUCAGGGGGCCCAGACAGGGUUCAGACAUCUGGGGAAAGCGUAGGGGAUUCUGUUUGGGGUGUAGGGGCUCUAUCUGUGAUACAGAGGGCCCAGAAACUGUGCAGAGUGACUUGUUGGGGUGCAGGGGGUUCUUGUCGGGGUGCAGGUCAUCCAGGCAAGGUGCAGGGUGUUCUGGUUGGGGUGCAGGGGCUUUAGACAGCGUUUAGGGUUCCACGUAAGGUGCGGGUGGUUCUGGUUGGGGUAAAGGGGGUCUGUUUGGGUUGCAGAGGCUCCAGGCAACGUGCAGAAGAUCUGAUCGGGGUUCCAGGGGUCCAGGCAAGGUGCAGGUUGUUCUGAUUGGGGUGCAGGCGGUCUGGUUUGGAUGCAGGGGACCCAGACAGGGUUCAGGAGUUCUUGUUGUGGUUCAGGGAGUCUCAGACAGGGUUCAGGGCAUCCAGGCAAAGUGCAGCGCGUUCUGGUUGGGGUGCAGGGUGUCUGUUUGUGAUUCAGGCAACCCGGACAUUGUGCAGGGUGUGUUGUUAGGGUGUAGGGGGUUCAGAUAUCAUUCAGGGUGUCCAGGCAAGUCUGAGAGGUUUCUGUUUUGCAUGCAGGGGAUCUGUUUGGGUUGCAGGGGCCCCAGACAUGGCGCAAGAGUUCUUGUUGGGGUGCAGGGGUUUCAGCCUUCAUGGCGUUCAGGCAAUAUGCAGGGGGUUCUGGUUGUGGUGCGUGGGAUCUGCUUUGCUUUGUGUCACAGGGCUUCCAGGCAAGGUGCGGACGGUCUCAUUUGGAUUCAGGAGGCCCAGAGAGGGUUCAGAGGGUCUAGGCAAGGUGCAGGGUUUUCUGUUUGGAGUGCAGGGAUCCCAGAGAGGGUGUAGGGUGUCUUGUUGGGGUGUACAGUGUUCAAGGCAAGUUGCAUGGAGUUCUGUUUGUUGUGCAGGGGGUCGGGUUGGGGUGCACGGGUUCUGUUUGGGAAGCAGAGGACCCAGACACGUCACAAGGGUUGUCGUUUGGAUGCAGGGGGUUCAGACAGGGUUCAGAGCGUUCAGGAACUAUGCAAGGGCUGCUGUUUGUGGUGCAGGGGGGUUCUAGACAGGGUGCAGGGAGUCUUGUUGGGAUGCAGGUGGUUCAGAGAGUGUUCAGGGGGGUCCAAGCAAGGUGCAGGCGGUCUGAUCGGCGUUCAGGGGUUCCAGGCAAGUUCCAGGGUGUUCUGUUUGAGUUGCAGUGGGUAUGGUUGGGAUGUAGAGGGCACAGACAGGGUUCAGGGGUCUCGCUGGGGUGCAGGGGCUUCCGACAGUGUUCAGGGUGUUCUGUUUGUUGUGCAGGGAGUGGUUUGGGAAGCAGGGGACUCAGACUCGUUGCAGGGGGUUCUGGUUGGGGUGCAGUGGGUUCAGACAGUGCUCAGGCGAUCCAGGCAAGUCCCAGGGACUUGUGUUUGUUGUGCAGGGGGUGUGGUUGGGAUGCAGAGGGUUGGUUUGUGAUGGAGGGGGCUCAGACAGGGUGCAGGGUAUCUUGUUGUGCGGGGGGGUUCAGAGAGUGGUCAGGAGGUACCGGUUGGGGUUCAGGGUGUCUGUUUGGGGUGCAAGGCAUUCAGGCAAGGUGCAGGGAUUCUGGUUGUGGUUCAGAGGGACCAGACGGGGUGCAGGGGGUCCUGUUGGUUUGUAGGGGGUUCAGACAGGGCUCCAGGGACCUCUUUGGGAAGCAGGGGACCCGGACACGUUGCGUGGUUCUGGUUGGGGUGCAGGAUGUUCAGUCAAGGUUCAGGGGGUCCAGGCGAUUCUGUUUAGGGUGCAGGGGGUCUGUUUGCGAUGUACAGGGCCCAGACAGUGUGCAGGGUGUGUCAUUGCAGUGGUGGGGGUUCAGACAACGUGCAGGGGUCCUGGUUGCUGUUCAGGGGGCAUUGUUGGGGUUCAGGGGUCUUGUUCAUGUACAGAGGGGUAUUCUUGGGGUAUAGGAGUUCCAGUUGGGCUUCAUGGGGUACAGACAGUGUGAAGGGGGGCCAGGCAAGUUGCAGCGGGUGUGGUUGGGGUGCAGAGGGUCAAGACAACGUGCAGGUGUUCUGAGCAGGUUUCAAUGGGUCUGGUUGUGGUGCAGGGGGUCUGUUUGGGUUUCCUGGGGCACAGAGAGUUUACAGGAGGUCCAGGCGAGGUGCAGGGGGUCUUUUUAGGGUGCAGGGGUUUCAGACAGGUUGCAGGGGAUAUGGUUGGAGUUCAGGGCAUCUGGUUGGAGUGCAGGGGUCUGAGCAAUGUGCAGGGAGUCUGGCUGGGUUCAGGGGUCCCACAGAGGCUUCAUGGGGUCUUGUUGGGGUGAAGGAGGUCCCAUUGGGGUUCAUGGGGCCCAGACAGCGUGCAGAUGGUCUAGACAGGUUGCAGGGGGUCUUGCUGGUGUGCACGAGGUCUCCUUGGUCUGCAGGGGAGCCAGGCAAGGUGCAGGGGGUCUGGUUGGGAUUCAGUGGGUCUGGUUGGGAUUCAUGCUGCAAAGACUGGGUACAGGGGGUCCGAGCAAGGUGCAAGGAGCCUGGUUUGGGUGUAGGGGCCCCAGAGAGUGUGCAGAGGGUCCAGCCAGGUUAUAGCUGAUCUUGUUGAAAUGCCGAGGGCCCAGGCAAUGUGCAGGGGGUCUUGUUGGUGUCACAGGUGUCCGGGGAAUGUGCAAGUCAUCUGGCUGGGCUGCAGGACAUCUGAUUGUUUUGCAGGGGGUCCAGACAAGGUGCGUGGGGGCCAGGCGAGUUGCUGGUGAUCCGGUUGGGGUGCAGGGGAUCUCAUUGUUGUACAGAGGGCUGAGACAGGGUUCAGUAGGUCCAGGCAUCGUGCAGGGGAGCUGGCUGGGGUUCAGGUGACACUGACAGGGUGCAUCUGGUUGCUGUCAGGGGGUACGAUUGGCGUGUGAGGCACUCAGUUAGCACACCAGGGCCAAGCGGACUACAGAGGUCUCGGUGUUUAGAGGGUAAGUUUGGUGUGCCGGGCAUCUUGUUGGGCUGCAGGGGGGCUGGUUGAGGUGCACGGGGUCCAGGCGAGGCGUAGGGGCUCUCUGUGAGGUUCAGGGGGUGUAGUUGGCCAUCUGGGGGCCCAGAGAUGGUCCAGGGGGGCCAAGUAGUGAGCACGGAGUCUGGUGGGGUGCGGGGUCACCAGGCAAAGUCUAGGAGGUGUGGUUGUGCUAUGGAGGAACUCAUUGGUGUGCGUCGCAGGCCAGCAAGGUGCACGGGGUCUGGUUGGUGUGUAGGGGGCUCAGACAUCUAUGCGGUGAACAGCACAUCUUUAAGUUCUUUCCCCAUUCCUUCUCUUAUGUUAAAACGGUAGGGUUGCUCGGAAUCAUACAUCAUCCUUUUGCCAUUCCGGAUGAUUUAGCCACAACAAGACAAAUCAACCUAAGGCACUUCCUCCUGUUGCCUUUCAGAGGCAUGGCGACCGACCCCAGGCCGCUCAGGCCAUCAGCUCACAGACACCAAUGUGGUGGAUGGCAAAUGGUGUUUUAUUGAGGAAUAUACAGGCCUUAUGUAGCUUGGGUUUACAAUGUCACUUCUGUCUGCUUACAUCACUGCUACAUUACUAUUGGCUAUCGGGGUAUCAGAAAAAGGGGCCCUAUCUUUCCGUACAGCGCGAUAUCUUCCGACCGCCAGGCCCUGACAACCUACAUCCUCCUGUUUCCCUUCCCUCCAACAAAACAACAUCGACAGUAUAUAAUGUUAAGCUGUAAGGUCCGUGCUUUGGCCACUUCUCUCGAUCUUCUAAAACGUACAGUGGCCACCAACGAUUACAAUAGUCAAUGAAUUGUUUCCCAGAUAAGGGGUUCGCUUCCCACGUCCCUCCAAUAUUUUAAUAUACAUUCCAGAGGUGACUUUUUGAAAAGACCGCUCUCAGACCCCUUAGACAGGUCGGAACCCACAUUAAACAAAAUAAACAAUUACUUACACAAAACUAUGACACCGCCUAACAGACUAAACAAGGCUGUUAUACAAGAUAAUAAUUAGACAUGGACAUUGGCCAAUGCCCCGCGAUACCCUAGCCUGCACCUUAUGUGCGAUCGAGGCUUUCUUCUGACCCCAGGCGACACUCCGGGCACGUCACCGUAAUAACGUGUAAUCUCGCCUUUCUUCCCGGGUUUCCCUUAAUAGCAGAGUCCCAUGGGAAUUUCUUGCGUCCAGUCUUACGGACAGCCUUUUCCAGUCUGUGUUACCUUUGGUAAUGCCUGAAAAAAACCACAAACAAACAAACCAACCAACCAAAACAACAAAAAAAAAAACCCACCAGGGCUCUUACUCCAAACUCACCAGAUCAGGGGUUCGGAGGAUCUCCCCGAAAAACACUUAGGCAACGCCAGAGUCUUCACAAUCCCGUGGGUUUGUCAAGUUUCCGAGGCAGCAUCCCAUCCGGGUCGCCGAAAUUCUCUACUGAAAUCGGCAACGAAACCUCCUUAACGCCAGGUUUAGCGUUAACGCAUGGGGAUUGCUUUAUCUGGCUGGGUACGCGAGGGAAUCGUUCCGCCUAACUCGCCUGUCGUACAUUACCAUAGCCAAAACUCAUAUCAUCCCGUUAUGUGCCUAUUCAUUAACUCAUUAUCGUCGUUAUAUAACUAUUACCUCUGCGAUUUAGGUCGCUGAGGGGCUUCCACGGAGGUCCUCGGCGGUCUGUAGCAGUUUCUGGAGAGGAUCCUUUCUCGAACUUCGUCUAGGUUUUAGAAUGGGCCUUUCUUCGGUUUACGUCUGCGCUUUCUUACAUCCCGCCUGCCUUCAGCUAGUUUGUUGUUUUUCAGAGGGCCUUGACGUUGAAGGACGAGGGCUUCCGAUUAGGAGUCUCUCAAUGAGACACGGAGCCUCCCCACAUAUGCAUUUCUGGGGAGGUGUUUAUCACGCUCACCUAGCCGAAGGAUCUCCGUGUGACAGAUCACACGUCAUAGGCGUUUGACCGAUCGCUUAAGUUUUUACGCUACGCUAAGCAAUUUUUUUUGCUUGGCCAUUUUGCAACAGCGGUGUUUCGGUUUGCCAUCGGUAUUUUUAAAUUCUUUUGUCUCUUCAUCCCUGGGCUUUUACAAUUGGCUUGUAUCUCGGUCACCGCAUUUGUUUUUAAAUUAUUUUGUCUCAAUUUUCCUCGUUGCUGACCUCUAAAAUUUUAUUUCUACAUCUCCGCUGUAAUUUGCCAUCAAUAUAUCUGAUUUAUUUCAUUAUUUCUUUAUUAACCAUCGCUUUUAAUGUACCCUGGCUACCUGUAUUCUGUUUGCGUUUUUUUUUUUUUAAAUUAUUUUUUUGUCCUUUGUUUGUCUCCACACCCACGUUCCCUCCGCUCCCCGGAGCCCUCUCAUUCUCGUCACGACGUCUCUCGAGACAAUCCUCGUGUCUGACAGCACCGUUUGAGCUCCACGGCUCUCCGCGUACAUCUCUUACGCAGACAGAUCCCUUCCUCGGGCUUUGUCCACACCCCAGAGCCAUCUUACUUAAUCACCGCCAUUUCGGAUGCAUCCGUUUGGUCGGUCGUCCCCCGAGAACCUCCGUACGUUGCGGGGAUGCCUUCCCUAGUUAAGCAUCCCGUGCGAGAGCCGUCUUUUAUGUUUGGCUCUUCUCCUGAUGUCAGCGUGCCUCCCGAGGCCAUCCUCGUGCUCCGCCGCCCUUUAUCAGCUCUGCUGUCAAAGUACCGAGGCCUGAACGACAGGUCUCGAGCCAAAGUCAGCCUCUAGACGAAUCUCACGACCAAACGUGUUAUAUACUGACCGUAUCCAAUCAUUACUGAAAUACGUAGCUUGGAUAGAACAUCUGAUUAUCGAGAUAAGUAGCUUAGAUAAAACAAUACAUGAAUAUACCAACAUUUCCUAGUUUAGGAGCCAAUUAUUGAGGUUGAUUAAGCAAACUCCCUCGGUUCCUCUUAUGUUGACAUUUCCUAGUUUAGAAGCCCAUUAUCGAGGUCGAAUACGCAAACUCCCUCAGUUCGUCCUCGAGCAUCGGCCAGGCUUGGGAAAGAAUCCCAAAGGAGGAUGACGAGGCGGCUCAAUCCACCUGAUGUCUUGCGUGCAUUUUGUCAGUUCUACAGAUUUACAGAUUUGUUUGUUAACCCAUCUAAAACCGGAACCCUCACUCAGCAAAGACGGAGACCUCGUCCACGAGCGGACGCACCGUGUAGGACUCGUCAGUUGCCGGGAAAGCCUCUCCGAUCCUUCGUCGUGACAGGGCUCCCCAGCUGAAGCACGGAUCCAGAGCCUAAUCAAAUACCCAUCUUUUUCAACGUAUACCCUGGAAAAAUUAAGCAGAACUCCCUACCGGGUCACAUCGCCAACACAACAGGCCCAGUAAAAGAGCAGGUGUCAAUGCUCUCUCAGUCCUUCAGUCAGUAGCAGCUUUUGAGCCAUUUAAGCUUGUGAGACUGAUGUGUUUUGAUCUCUAGAGGAACAGAGUAAUUUGAGAUUAGUUAUUGUGUUUGAGAGGGCAAGAUAAUUUAAUAAGAUAGUUUCACCUUUGGGAUCAUCUGAGCAUCCGAAAGCAGCCGGGUAGUAGCAAGGCCGAGCACGGGGUCGGUGACUUCUCACAAGCGCAACGGUAACUUUGUCUCUCGGUAAGUUAGGUACCGCAAGCGACAACGGCUGCAGAAUCUGACUCCAAAACGAGCAGGCGAUAAAGGAAUCGGGCCACUGCAGGAACAUGCUAGUUAGCUGCCGCGCUGCUUUUGUCGAGGAUGGAAUCGGACCUCCUUCCCUCUGAAAGCUAAGUCGAGCGAACGGGGCCGAGAGGAAGGGACGGGGUUGGGAAUUGCAGGGAAGUGUUUGAAAGUUAGCAUAGGGGAUAAGGCUGCACAGGAGCAGGCCCUAUAGUCAGGUAAAGGGAACAGAUUAUUUUUCCCCUUGAUGUUAGUAUGUCCCGGGCAGGGCAGUUCCAGCCUCUGCGUGUGUCAUCUUGUAGUUUGUUUCUUCUGUCUGCCGUGUCUUUGCCCUUCCUCGGCUCUAAAUGUCCUCACAUCUCUUUGUGCUCGAGGAGCACGGCACGCGCCUUAGGCGUCAUCCCUAGGGUAUCGAACGCCCAUCUUCAUCGGCACGCUGCCGAUCGGGUGCUUUUUAUUCUUGCGUUAUAAGCUUAGAGCGUGGGUAGGUCUUGGAAGUUUCCAUUCAGGAAGUCUUUUGCGCAGCGUCGUCGCAGGCUCUGGCAUCAGCUCUGCUAUUUAGGCGUCCGUUGUUCCUGCCGGUGACUUCUUUCCCGUAUCCUGACAUUCUUAGGUCUUGAAGCCCAUCUUCUUGCAUACCCAUCGUCUCGGUUUUGACGGUAGCUUCUCGUAAGGGGCCGUUCCACUUACUGCUUCUUGUAGGCUGCCAUAUAGCCUCCUCGCAUCACCAUCGUGGCCCUCCGAGUCUUCUCGCCUUACGGCAUACCCUUCUGGGUGUCCUUAUCGCUUAGCGUUUAGUCAUCUUUGAAUCGUGUCAUUUGUAGUAUUUUGUGUGUGUCUGUGUGGCUCGGAGCUGCUCUGCCUGGGGGGUGUAGAGUCGGGGAUAGGUGGAAUAGAGUUCACGGGUAUACCGUAUGGGUUUGUUUUAAAUAAGAAAACGAAUCCUCCAACUGGGUGACGUCUUUGUCUCCCCGGUGGGGUUUAUUUUCACCCAGUCGCAGAUGCUCUCUGAGGGUGACGGUCGCGGUCAGCGUCUGGGUGAAGGUCAGGUUUGGGCCGGGAUUUCCUCAGGCUAGGCGCUCGAGUCCCCCAGGAAGAGUAUUCAGGGGGUGACCGCCUGUCGUGACGGUUGGGCGGAAGGAUGGGCCGGUGGAGAGUGGGGGUUGGUUUUGGCGGUAGGUGGAAUAGCGGUAUGUUUAGAAUGUGUCUAGCCGUGUAUGAGUAUUUGUCGUCUCUUUUCUUCCAGGACGUAGGCGGGGCUCAAUUUGACUACGUGGACUGGAUUUAAUGAAAACCUCUGUCAGGGGAAUAAACUUCUGUUUUUCCCGUCUCCUGGCUGGGUAGUUUUUCCCUGGUCCCGCCCGGUGUGCGAUGCAAGGAUCGUUAUCUAGAUUUGGGUGCAGGUCAGGCUCAGGCUGGAGUUUUUUCAGGCAGGAUGAUUUUUUGAGGCCCCCAUACCUGGUGUUUAUGAGGAUCACGGAGGGUGAUGGCUUGUGUCGGUUUUGGUGGUAGGGUGGCCAAGGGGAGAACACAUGGUGGUUGGAGUGGUAGCUGGCUGUGUGGCGUUUAAAAUGUGUGUAGCAGUGCCUGAAUGGUUGAUGUUUUGUUUUUUCCUUACGGGCUGUAGGUUGUGUAGCAUUGUUUAGAGGCAGUAGACAGACAAAAUAGAAAUUAAAAAAAAAAAAAAAACCAAAAAAAA
Molecule: long non-coding RNA, 8354 nt
Organism: Tyto alba (common barn owl)
Lineage: Eukaryota; Metazoa; Chordata; Aves; Strigiformes; Tytonidae
Exons: 5
Source: RefSeq, a predicted model, not a curated record